CCUACGGGUGGCAGCAGUAGGGAAUAUUGCGCAAUGGAGGAAACUCUGACGCAGCAACGCCGCGUGAAGGAUGAAGGUUUUCGGAUUGUAAACUCCUGUUGUUAGAGAUGAUAAUUGCGGGUUCUAACUAAUAAGCACCGGCUAACUCCGUGCCAGCAACCGCGGUAAUACGGAGGGUGCAAGCGUUACUCGGAAUCACUGGGCGUAAAGAGCGCGUAGGCGGGAUAGCAAGUCAGAUGUGAAAUCCUAUGGCUUAACCAUAGAACUGCAUUUGAAACUGUUAUUCUAGAGUAUGGGAGAGGUAGGUGGAAUUCUUGGUGUAGGGGUAGAAUCCGUAGAGAUCAAGAGGAAUAC
This 354-nucleotide ribosomal RNA is filed under the name uncultured bacterium. RNAcentral describes it as "partial 16S ribosomal RNA". It matches the Rfam family "Bacterial small subunit ribosomal RNA", at positions 338 to 709 of the family's 1533-position model. The record is from RNAcentral.